CCCUUAGAUGUUCUGGGCCGCACGCGUGCUACACUGAGUGGAUCAGCGGGUCAGGUUGCGCGAAAGCGUUUCCUAAUCUUGAAGUCCGCUCGUGAUGGGGAUUGACGGUUGCAAUUUUCUGUCAUGAACGAGGAAUACCUUGUAAGCGCGAGUCAUCAUCCCGCGCUGAAUACGUCCCUGCCCUUUGUACACACCGCCCGUCGCUCCUACCGAUUGAGUGGUCCGGUGAGGCUUUGGGAUCUGAGCGGAAAGAGCGUUUCGCUCGUUCUGCCCGGAAAACUCAGUCGAACCUUAUCAUUUAGAGGAAGGAGAAGUCGUAACA
This 322-nucleotide ribosomal RNA is filed under the name uncultured eukaryote. RNAcentral's name for it is "partial 18S ribosomal RNA". It matches the Rfam family "Eukaryotic small subunit ribosomal RNA", at positions 1470 to 1796 of the family's 1831-position model. The record is from RNAcentral.